This 253-nucleotide ribosomal RNA is filed under the name uncultured bacterium. Its description in RNAcentral is "partial 16S ribosomal RNA". It matches the Rfam family "Bacterial small subunit ribosomal RNA", at positions 524 to 776 of the family's 1533-position model. The record is from RNAcentral.
UACGUAGGGUGCAAGCGUUGUCCGGAAUUAUUGGGCGUAAAGAGCUCGUAGGCGGUCUGUCGCGUCGGCUGUGAAAUCCCGAGGCUCAACCUCGGGUCUGCAGUCGAUACGGGCAAACUGGAGUGUUGCAGGGGAGACUGGAAUUCCUGGUGUAGCGGUGAAAUGCGCAGAUAUCAGGAGGAACACCGGUGGCGAAGGCGGGUCUCUGGGCAACAACUGACGCUGAGACGCGAAAGCGUGGGGAGCAAACAGG